This 369-nucleotide ribosomal RNA is filed under the name uncultured bacterium. RNAcentral describes it as "bacterial SSU rRNA". It matches the Rfam family "Bacterial small subunit ribosomal RNA", at positions 527 to 898 of the family's 1533-position model. The record is from RNAcentral.
GGAGGGUGCAAGCGUUAUCCGGAUUCACUGGGUUUAAAGGGUGCGUAGGCGGACCUGUAAGUCAGUGGUGAAAUCUCCGGGCUUAACCCGGAAACUGCCAUUGAUACUAUAGGUCUUGAAUGUCCUGGAGGUCUGCGGAAUAUGUCAUGUAGCGGUGAAAUGCUUAGAGAUGACAUAGAACAUCUAUUGCGAAGGCAGCAGGCUACGGGAAAAUUGACGCUGAGGCACGAAAGCGUGGGGAUCAAACAGGAUUAGAUACCCUGGUAGUCCACGCCCUAAACGAUGAUUACUCGACAUACGCGAUACACAGUGUGUGUCUGAGCGAAAGCAUUAAGUAAUCCACCUGGGAAGUACGACCGCAAGGUUGAA